This 402-nucleotide ribosomal RNA is filed under the name uncultured bacterium. Its description in RNAcentral is "bacterial SSU rRNA". It matches the Rfam family "Bacterial small subunit ribosomal RNA", at positions 355 to 774 of the family's 1533-position model. The record is from RNAcentral.
UAGGGAAUAUUGGUAAUGUGCGAAAGCGCGAACCAGCAACGCCGCGUGCACGAUGAAGGCCUUCGGGUCGUAAAGUGCUUUUAGAGAGGAUGAGGAAGGACAGUACUUUCUGAAUAAGCCUCGGCUAACUACGUGCCAGCAGCCGCGGUAAAACGUAGGAGGCUAGCGUUAUCCGGAUUUACUGGGCGUAAAGCGCACGCAGGUGGUUUUGUAAGUUGGAUGUGAAAGCUCCUGGCUUAACUGGGAGAGGUCGUUCAAAACUACAAGACUUGAGAUUGGUAGAGGAAAAUGGAAUUCCGGGUGUAGUGGUGAAAUGCGUAGAUAUCCGGAGGAACACCAGUGGCGAAAGCGGUUUUCUGGACCAAUUCUGACACUCAGAUGCGAAAGCUAAGGUAGCAAACG